GAAAGCUCUCACUGGCACUUGUUCCCCUUGGAUGGGAUAACUAGAGGGGGUAGCAACCCAGCCUCUGUCUCCACUGCCCCAUCAGAAUAAAAACACCUCAGGAGCCCUGAGUCCCCCUGUCAUAGCUGUGGAACCUUUACCAAGGAAGGAGAAGAUAUUGACACAAGUUAUUUAGAAGAAAAGCAACACCAUUUCCAUAGUUGUUAUUCCUAUGUCUGGUAGGAGGCUGGAUUAUUCUUCAUAGCAAGACAGAUCAAAUGCAUAAGCAG
Herpailurus yagouaroundi (jaguarundi) is the source of this 269-nucleotide long non-coding RNA. RefSeq lists it as uncharacterized. The record is from RefSeq and is a predicted model, not a curated record. Lineage: Eukaryota; Metazoa; Chordata; Mammalia; Carnivora; Felidae. The transcript has 3 exons.